UGGCUCAGGAUGAACGCUAGCUACAGGCUUAACACAUGCAAGUCGAGGGGCAGCAUGGUCUUAGCUUGCUAAGUGCGAUGGCGACCGGCGCACGGGUGAGUAACACGUAUCCAACCUGCCGUCUACUCUUGGACAGCCUUCUGAAAGGAAGAUUAAUACAAGAUGGCAUCAUGAGUCCGCAUGUUCACAUGAUUAAAGGUAUUCCGGUAGACGAUGGGGAUGCGUUCCAUUAGAUAGUAGGCGGGGUAACGGCCCACCUAGUCUUCGAUGGAUAGGGGUUCUGAGAGGAAGGUCCCCCACAUUGGAACUGAGACACGGUCCAAACUCCUACGGGAGGCAGCAGUGAGGAAUAUUGGUCAAUGGGCGAGAGCCUGAACCAGCCAAGUAGCGUGAAGGAUGACUGCCCUAUGGGUUGUAAACUUCUUUUAUAAAGGAAUAAAGUCGGGUAUGGAUACCCGUUUGCAUGUACUUUAUGAAUAAGGAUCGGCUAACUCCGUGCCAGCAGCCGCGGUAAUACGGAGGAUCCGAGCGUUAUCCGGAUUUAUUGGGUUUAAAGGGAGCGUAGAUGGAUGUUUAAGUCAGUUGUGAAAGUUUGCGGCUCAACCGUAAAAUUGCAGUUGAUACUGGAUAUCUUGAGUGCAGUUGAGGCAGGCGGAAUUCGUGGUGUAGCGGUGAAAUGCUUAGAUAUCACGAAGAACUCCGAUUGCGAAGGCAGCUCACUGGACUGCAACUGACACUGAUGCUCGAAAGUGUGGGUAUCAAACAGGAUUAGAUACCCUGGUAGUCCACACAGUAAACGAUGAAUACUCGCUGUUUGCGAUAUACAGUAAGCGGCCAAGCGAAAGCAUUAAGUAUUCCACCUGGGGAGUACGCCGGCAACGGUGAAACUCAAAGGAAUUGACGGGGGCCCGCACAAGCGGAGGAACAUGUGGUUUAAUUCGAUGAUACGCGAGGAACCUUACCCGGGCUUAAAUUGCAGUGGAAUGAUGUGGAAACAUGUCAGUGAGCAAUCACCGCUGUGAAGGUGCUGCAUGGUUGUCGUCAGCUCGUGCCGUGAGGUGUCGGCUUAAGUGCCAUAACGAGCGCAACCCUUAUCUUCAGUUACUAACAGGUCAUGCUGAGGACUCUGGAGAGACUGCCGUCGUAAGAUGUGAGGAAGGUGGGGAUGACGUCAAAUCAGCACGGCCCUUACGUCCGGGGCUACACACGUGUUACAAUGGCAGGUACAGAGAGACGGUCCCUUGCAAAAUGGAUCAAAUCCUUAAAGCCUGUCUCAGUUCGGACUGGGGUCUGCAACCCGACCCCACGAAGCUGGAUUCGCUAGUAAUCGCGCAUCAGCCAUGGCGCGGUGAAUACGUUCCCGGGCUUUGCACUCACCGCCCGU
This 1384-nucleotide ribosomal RNA is filed under the name uncultured bacterium. Its description in RNAcentral is "16S ribosomal RNA". It matches the Rfam family "Bacterial small subunit ribosomal RNA", at positions 20 to 1397 of the family's 1533-position model. The record is from RNAcentral.